RNAcentral lists this small RNA (216 nucleotides) under Pseudomonas synxantha BG33R. RNAcentral's name for it is "sRNA P11". The stretch from base 74 to 216 matches the Rfam family "Pseudomonas sRNA P11". From Rfam's summary of the family: P11 is located between a putative threonine protein kinase and putative nitrate reductase and appears to be conserved in several Pseudomonas species. P11 has a predicted Rho independent terminator at the 3'end but the function of P11 is unknown. Lineage: Bacteria; Pseudomonadati; Pseudomonadota; Gammaproteobacteria; Pseudomonadales; Pseudomonadaceae. The record is from RNAcentral.
CUGCUGUACUGGCUGCUGCACCACUAACGAGCAAAAUCCACCUCUCUCCUGUUUAAACGCCCAAUAAAACUGGGGGUAUGCAACUUGGCACAGCUGCUGCAUUAGGUCUUGCCAACAACCCACAUAUAGCCGCCCCUUCAACGUCGAAGGGUCGAGCUUCCCGAGAGAACGGGACCAGGACAAAGGCGUCCUCGCUAGCUGACUAGCGGGGACGCC